UGGCAACGAUGUAAGGAAACAAAAAAUUUGCCGUAAAGAGACUGAUACCGAAAGUUGGUCGUAGUUUUCAAGAUGGCGUCUGUAAAUCUCCACGCGAGAAAUCGCAACGAAGACAAAAUAAUGUUAUUUUAUUGUUUUGACGAUGCAAAAGCUUACAUAAAAAGAAAUGAAAUUGAUACGAAUAACCUACAUAAUUGGUUACAGCACAAAAAACUUUGGUAAUUCAGUUUUUACUUCAUCCUCCCAUAAGGUUUGUUGGGUCCAUGGGGUGAACCCUUAUAUGUAUGUGAGCCUUGGACAUCAGGGUCUGAAAUGCCACCAUGGUACAGACAAGAAUAAGAAGAGAAAACUGGAAAAGGAGAAGGUAUUGGACAGAAAAAUGACAAAGACAGUUAGCAGUGAGCAACAUUCAUAUGCUAAAUAGAAAACAAGGCAUGCAGUGCAGCUCUCCAAAAAAUUGGACUGUCCUGCUUCUAUCAUUCUGAAGGAAGUGUUGAUAUUCACCCCUGAAAAGGGUUCAUCAAGCGAGCUGGACAAAAAAAUGGCUGCUUCUAAUGUGAGGAGUGAUCUGAGUAAAGGCAUCAAGAAGAUAAUGGUGGUGUUUCCUAACAUCGAACACAAGUACCAUACAAGUGGAGAGAACGCUGGGCUGUUGCAACGUAUCGACAGUGAUGUUACCUCAAAAAUUAAAAACUUGUGGUGGAAGAGGGCGUUGCAAAUGUUGAAGAAAUGCAACGCCAUCUGACCUCAUUUGUUAUGAAGAAUGUAACACCUGCUCCAUCAAGAACUAAAAGGAGAUUUGCCCCUACAAAAAAGUGAUCAGAUAUCACAUGAAUAAGGCAGCAAAGAAGGGUUGUGAUAGCAAUGAUGACCAACACAACUUAGUUCAACUUGUGAGUGUGCUUAGUGUGUAAUUAACAGUUACUUCAAUACAGAUAUAUAUUUAUCACAUGCCAUACCCUGCUUCCCCUUGUAAUAUAACCAUUACGAAUAUUUUUAUCUUACACAUGUGUAAUAUACUUUUUAAGGAUUUUCAUUGGCUUAUUUUCGUUUGAUUGACCAAUCGCAUUUUGUUAUGUUGCUGAAAUAACAUUGCAACGUCAAAUGACGUCACGAAAUGUAAACAACAUUUCGGAUUUAUCAUUAAGUUUGCGAAAAUAUUUUAAUAAUUUUUUGUGUCCGGAGCCAUAUCUUGGAAGUGCUUUGGCGGAUUUCAUUGAAACUUGGUAUGAGUAUAAAUAUGGAUAAGAGGAUGAUACAUAACAUUUGACAGAGUUAUACAUCUCAUUAAGCGAAAUUUAAGAAAUUGUGUUAUUAUAUUUUCAUAUAUUACUUUUCGGCCUAAGAUGCUAAGGUCAUACAUUGUUUUGUAAACGAAACAUGCGACAUAAUUUUCCUUUAUCAUUUACAUUUGUUGUAAAUAGUGAACAUAUUAAAAUUCUGAUGUCUGAUAUUAAUUUGCCUCUUGUGAAUAGAUUUGUACCAUUGUUUUGUUAAAUGGACCUUUUCACGUUUUGGUAAAUUGACGAAAUUGUUUUUUUUUUCAGAUUUCAAAAUUUUCGUUGUAGUUUUUUUUUUGCGAGGAAUCGGUAAUACUGAAAAUUUACUAAGCUCUACAAUAUUACAGUAUUUGCAUAUUUUGAAGAUUUAAACACAUUAAAAAUUUAAAGCAUUACGAAGGAAUAAUUUGGCGAGUUCUGUUGUUAUCAUUAUAUUUUGUGACAGUACGAUGAUUGCUGAUAUAAAUUAUAACAUAAACAUAUUACUUACUAUACGAUCACAGAUGGGCGAGUUGUUUAAGUUCUAGUCUUUUUCUCAAAUGGUCAGUUGUUUAAGACUAGUUAAGGAUAACUUUUUUAUCUUUGAUUUUAUUCUUGUUUAAUUAUUGAGCUAUUUAAUUCCGAUGUAAACAUUUAUCUUUUUACAUUAUUUUAUUUAUUUCAUCAUUUUUAUUUUUAAAACUUCAACACAUGCCAAAAUCCGUAAAAAUAUCCAUAUACAGGUAUGCGUUUAUAAUUGUUGGCAUCAUUUACGUCAAUUUCUUUAAACUAUGACUUUUUCCCUUCGCACCAAGACAAGAAUAUUAAUUGAUUAAACCAAUGGUUAUUGUUUGCUUUUGAAUGUCUUACUAUUGAACAUUUGAUAAUCUCAUCCGGAGGUUGUUGCUUUCCCGGGAUUUUAUUAUUGUUUUGUUAAUUUAUUAAUUUUCCAACGUUUAGAAAUGUCAUGUUUUGCUAACAUUUAUAAAUGUAUUUAUACUUUUAUUCGCACUUUGAUCGUAGUACUUUCAUGUUUGGCUUUCUUUCACAUCGAACAAGUGUUUAUUUUUUUAUAAAUAUCAUCUACGGUUGAGUGGUUCGAUUUAACUUCUUUAAUUUAAGACGCAUUCUGCAGAAUACACCAAAAAUAUCGGGUUUGAUGAACCUUAUAUAUUUAAUGUUGUGCCUUUCUUUUAUUAAUACGCUCUCCUUUUCUAUAUUUUGUAAUUCGUCUGCAAAACAAAAGCGUUCAUAUUUGAGUUCUUUUAUUGCUAGUUUAUAUUUUUUCUUGAUUAAAAAUCAAUGCAUUUUUUAGCAUUUGCGUAUAUUCAUAGUUUAUUCGAUGUUAUGGUAUGAUUUUCUUGAAACGAGAUGGUUUGCCACAGACGUGAAUGGCAGCAAUGUAUAGAUUGUGUGUAAACCAUUUCACCAUUUCUCCCAUUUCACCUUGAAUCGGUAAAUAUUAAAGAUGAAGUUCGUGUAAAUAAUGCGUUGUUAAAACGUCAAUUUUAUCUGCAUUUUAGGAGAUGUAUGAUGUUAACUGUGUAUAGUUGUGAAAUUAACCAUAUUCGUCGUUAUCGUAUUAGUUAUGGCGACACUCUUCAAAGAUGAUCUUAAAAUACUUAAAGUUGUAAUUAUUGUUUAUUUGUAACAUUUUAAGUCUAAUCCGGGUUUUCGCAACAAAUAAAUUUAACCAAACAUAGGACUGCACUCAACGGCACUUAUGUGGCCAAGGAUGGUUAAAUCUCAUAGAUGUGUGUUCAUAUUGAAAUACCAUAUAAAGUUGUAUAUAUUUAUGUAUGCAUGCAUGUAUGUAUGUAUGUAUGUAAUGAUAUACAUAUUAGAUAUAUUUAGUCUUAUAGCCUAACAAUUGAUCCAUAUGCAUCACGCACAUUUACCAAUAAGGUGUACUCCUUUUUAUCAUGUUAAUGUCAUUAAUUAAAAAAGUUGCAAUAUUAUAUGAAAUCAUGUAUUCCCUUCAUAAGCAUACCAUGUUAACCAGUUCAUAACAAUAUCGUCCAUUCUUUAUCUUCUACCAUCACUUAUAAAUAAAAUGUAUAAUCCAUAUAUAAUGUAAGCUAUGAGCUUGUAUAAGCUUUGUUGCUGAAUAAAUGUUGUUCUUGUUCUAAG
This is a long non-coding RNA of Dreissena polymorpha, 3389 nucleotides long. RefSeq lists it as uncharacterized. Lineage: Eukaryota; Metazoa; Mollusca; Bivalvia; Myida; Dreissenidae. The transcript is spliced from 5 exons. The record is from RefSeq and is a predicted model, not a curated record.